Molecule: ribosomal RNA, 1390 nt
Filed under: uncultured bacterium
Lineage: Bacteria
Description: bacterial SSU rRNA
Rfam family: Bacterial small subunit ribosomal RNA
Source: RNAcentral
AGAGUUUGAUCCUGGCUCAGGAUGAACGCUGGCGGCGUGCUUAACACAUGCAAGUCGAACGAAGCGCUAUUGACAGAAUCUUCGGAGGAUGGAUCUAGUGACUGAGUGGCGGACGGGUGAGUAACGCGUGGGUAACCUGCCUCAUACAGGGGGAUAACAGUUAGAAAUGACUGCUAAUACCGCAUAAGCGCACAGCAUUGCAUGAUGCAGUGUGAAAAACUCCGGUGGUAUGAGAUGGACCCGCGUCUGAUUAGCUAGUUGGUAAGGUAACGGCUUACCAAGGCGACGAUCAGUAGCCGGCCUGAGAGGGUGAACGGCCACAUUGGGACUGAGACACGGCCCAAACUCCUACGGGAGGCAGCAGUGGGGAAUAUUGCACAAUGGGGGAAACCCUGAUGCAGCGACGCCGCGUGAACGAAGAAGUAUUUCGGUAUGUAAAGUUCUAUCAGCAGGGAAGAAAAUGACGGUACCUGACUAAGAAGCUCCGGCUAAAUACGUGCCAGCAGCCGCGGUAAUACGUAUGGAGCAAGCGUUAUCCGGAUUUACUGGGUGUAAAGGGAGCGUAGACGGAUCUGCAAGUCUGAUGUGAAAGGCCAGGGCUCAACUCUGGGACUGCAUUGGAAACUGUGGAUCUUGAGUGCCGGAGAGGUAAGCGGAAUUCCUAGUGUAGCGGUGAAAUGCGUAGAUAUUAGGAGGAACACCAGUGGCGAAGGCGGCUUACUGGACGGUAACUGACGUUGAGGCUCGAAAGCGUGGGGAGCAAACAGGAUUAGAUACCCUGGUAGUCCACGCGGUAAACGAUGAAUACUAGGUGUUGGGCAGCAAAGCUGUUCGGUGCCGCAGCAAACGCAAUAAGUAUUCCACCUGGGGAGUACGUUCGCAAGAAUGAAACUCAAAGGAAUUGACGGGGACCCGCACAAGCGGUGGAGCAUGUGGUUUAAUUCGAAGCAACGCGAAGAACCUUACCAAGUCUUGACAUUUCCCUGACCGGCGCGUAAUGGUGCCUUCUCUUCGGAGCAGGGAAGACAGGUGGUGCAUGGUUGUCGUCAGCUCGUGUCGUGAGAUGUUGGGUUAAGUCCCGCAACGAGCGCAACCCUUAUCUUCAGUAGCCAGCAUUUCGGGUGGGCACUCUGGAGAGACUGCCAGGGAUAACCUGGAGGAAGGUGGGGAUGACGUCAAAUCAUCAUGCCCCUUAUGACUUGGGCUACACACGUGCUACAAUGGCGUAAACAAAGGGAAGCGAGCCUGCGAGGGGGAGCAAAUCUCAAAAAUAACGUCCCAGUUCGGACUGCAGUCUGCAACUCGACUGCACGAAGCUGGAAUCGCUAGUAAUCGCGAAUCAGAAUGUCGCGGUGAAUACGUUCCCGGGUCUUGCACACACCGCCCGUCA